Molecule: ribosomal RNA, 879 nt
Filed under: uncultured Emmonsia
Lineage: Eukaryota; Fungi; Ascomycota; Eurotiomycetes; Onygenales
Description: eukaryotic LSU rRNA
Rfam family: Eukaryotic large subunit ribosomal RNA (bases 649-879)
Source: RNAcentral
GCUUAGUGAGGCCUUCGGACUGGCUCAGAGGGGCUGGCAACGACCUCUCAGAGCCGGAAAGUUGUUCAAACUUGGUCAUUUAGAGGAAGUAAAAGUCGUAACAAGGUUUCCGUAGGUGAACCUGCGGAAGGAUCAUUACCGCGCCCGUGGGGGGCUGGCACGCCCGGCCUCCCCACCCGGCCACCCUUGCCUACCUGUACCUGUUGCUUCGGCGGGCCCGCAGCGAUGCCGCCGGGGGUUCGCCCCUGGCCCGCGCCCGCCGAAGACACCGAACUUCUAGUUAAGAUUGGCGUCUGAGCGUUUAACUAAAAUCGUUAAAACUUUCAACAACGGAUCUCUUGGUUCCGACAUCGAUGAAGAACGCAGCGAAAUGCGAUAAGUAAUGUGAAUUGCAGAAUUCCGUGAAUCAUCGAAUCUUUGAACGCACAUUGCGCCCUCUGGUAUUCCGGGGGGCAUGCCUGUCCGAGCGUCAUUGCAACCCUCAAGCGCGGCUUGUGUGUUGGGCCUUCGUCCCCCGUGGACGUGCCCGAAAUGCAGUGGCGGCGUCGUGUUCCGGUGCCCGAGCGUAUGGGGCUUUGUCACCCGCUCAUGGAGGCCCGGCCGGCCCCGGCCAACCCCCAAUCGAGGACUCGUUCCUCCACCAAGGUUUGACCUCGGAUCAGGUAGGGAUACCCGCUGAACUUAAGCAUAUCAAUAAGCGGAGGAAAAGAAACCAACAGGGAUUGCCUCAGUAACUGCGAGUGAAGCGGCAAGAGCUCAAAUUUGAAAUCUGGCGUCUUUGGGCGUCCGAGUUGUAAUUUGGAGAGGCAUCUUCGGAGAUGGGGCCGUCCUAAGUUCCUUGGAACAGGACGUCAUAGAGGGUGAGAAUCCAAGGGCGAA